This 506-nucleotide ribosomal RNA is filed under the name uncultured bacterium. Its description in RNAcentral is "partial 16S ribosomal RNA". It matches the Rfam family "Bacterial small subunit ribosomal RNA", at positions 29 to 523 of the family's 1533-position model. The record is from RNAcentral.
AGUGAACGCUGGCGGUAGGCCUAACACAUGCAAGUCGAACGGCAGCACAGAGGAGCUUGCUCCUUGGGUGGCGAGUGGCGGACGGGUGAGGAAUACAUCGGAAUCUACUCUGUCGUGGGGGAUAACGUAGGGAAACUUACGCUAAUACCGCAUACGACCUACGGGUGAAAGCAGGGGAUCUUCGGACCUUGCGCGAUUGAAUGAGCCGAUGUCGGAUUAGCUAGUUGGCGGGGUAAAGGCCCACCAAGGCGACGAUCCGUAGCUGGUCUGAGAGGAUGAUCAGACACGCUGGAACUGAGACACGGUCCAGACUCCUACGGGAGGAAGCAGUGGGGAAUAUUGGACAAUGGGCGCAAGCCUGAUCCAGCCAUACCGCGUGGGUGAAGAAGGCCUUCGGGUUGUAAAGCCCUUUUGUUGGGAAAGAAAUCCAUCUGGUUAAUACCCGGGUGGGAUGACGGUACCCAAAGAAUAAGCACCGGCUAACUUCGUGCCAGCCGCCGCCGUAA